GUCCAUGCCGUAAACGUUGGGCACUAGGUGUGGGGUCCAUUCCACGGAUUCCGUGCCGCAGCUAACGCAUUAAGUGCCCCGCCUGGGGAGUACGGCCGCAAGGCUAAAACUCAAAGAAAUUGACGGGGGCCCCGCACAAGCGGCGGAGCAUGCGGAUUAAUUCGAUGCAACGCGAAGAACCUUACCAAGGCUUGACAUACACCGGAAAAGUGCAGAGAUGUGCUCCCCGCAAGGUCGGUGUACAGGUGGUGCAUGGUUGUCGU
Molecule: ribosomal RNA, 263 nt
Filed under: uncultured bacterium
Lineage: Bacteria
Description: partial 16S ribosomal RNA
Rfam family: Bacterial small subunit ribosomal RNA
Source: RNAcentral